Molecule: ribosomal RNA, 468 nt
Filed under: uncultured bacterium
Lineage: Bacteria
Description: partial 16S ribosomal RNA
Rfam family: Bacterial small subunit ribosomal RNA
Source: RNAcentral
GACGAACGCUGGCGGCGCGCCUAACACAUGCCAGUCGAACGGAGUCAAGAGGAGCUCGCUUUUCUUGACUUAGUGGCGAACGGGUGAGUAACGCGUGAGUAACCUGCCCUGGAGUGGGGGACAACAGUUGGAAACGACUGCUAAUACCGCAUAAGCCCACGGAUCCGCAUGGAUCUGCGGGAAAAGGAUUUAUUCGCUUCAGGAUGGACUCGCGUCCAAUUAGCUAGUUGGUGAGGUAACGGCCCACCAAGGCGACGAUUGGUAGCCGGACUGAGAGGUUGAACGGCCACAUUGGGACUGAGACACGGCCCAGACUCCUACGGGAGGCAGCAGUGGGGGAUAUUGCACAAUGGGGGAAACCCUGAUGCAGCGACGCCGCGUGGGGGAAGAAGGUUUUCGGAUUGUAAACUCCUGUCGUUAGGGACGAUAAUGACGGUACCUAACAAGAAAGCACCGGCUAACUACGUG